UAAUCGGUCCUUUUAAGGGCCACUACAUUUUCCGAAGAUCAAUUGUU
This is a non-coding RNA of Folsomia candida, 47 nucleotides long. The record is from Rfam. Lineage: Eukaryota; Metazoa; Arthropoda; Collembola; Entomobryomorpha; Isotomidae.